AGUGAACGCUGGCGGUAGGCCUAACACAUGCAAGUCGAACGGCAGCACAGUAAGAGCUUGCUCUUACGGGUGGCGAGUGGCGGACGGGUGAGGAAUACAUCGGAAUCUACUUUUUCGUGGGGGAUAACGUAGGGAAACUUACGCUAAUACCGCAUACGACCUACGGGUGAAAGCAGGGGAUCUUCGGACCUUGCGCGAUUGAAUGAGCCGAUGUCGGAUUAGCUAGUUGGCGGGGUAAAGGCCCACCAAGGCGACGAUCCGUAGCUGGUCGGAGAGGAUGAUGAGCCACACUGGAACUGAGACACGGUCCAGACUCCUACGGGAGGCAGCAGUGGGGAAUAUUGGACAAUGGGGGCAAGCCUGAUGCAGCCAUACCGCGUGGGUGAAGAAGGCCUUCGGGUUGUAAAGCCCUUUUGUUGGGAAAGAAAAGCAGCAGGUUAAUACCCCGCUGUUCUGACGGUACCCAAAGAAUAAGCACCGGCUAACUUCGUG
This 492-nucleotide ribosomal RNA is filed under the name uncultured bacterium. RNAcentral describes it as "partial 16S ribosomal RNA". It matches the Rfam family "Bacterial small subunit ribosomal RNA", at positions 29 to 507 of the family's 1533-position model. The record is from RNAcentral.